AAAGGAAUUGACGGGGCCGCACAAGCGGUGGAGCAUGUGGUUAAUUCAAAGCAACGCGAAGAACCUUACCAGGUCUUGACAUCCCGAUGCUAUUUCUAGAGAUAGAAGUUACUUCGGUACAUCGGUGACAGGUGGUGCAUGGUUGUCGUCAGCUCGUGUCGUGAGAUGUUGGGUUAAGUCCCGCAACGAGCGCAACCCCUAUUGUUAGUUGCCAUCAUUCAGUUGGGCACUCUAGCGAGACUGCCGGUAAUAAACCGGAGGAAGUGGGGAUGACGUCAAAUCAUCAUGCCCCUUAUGACCUGGGCUACACACGUGCUACAAUGGUUGGUACAACGAGUUGCGAGUCGGUGACGGCGAGCUAAUCUCUUAAAGCCAAUCUCAGUUCGGAUUGUAGACUGCAACUCGCCUACAUGAAGUCGGAAUCGCUAGUAAUCGCGGAUCAGCACGCCGCGGUGAAUACGUUCCCGGGCCUU
RNAcentral lists this ribosomal RNA (473 nucleotides) under uncultured Streptococcus sp. Its description in RNAcentral is "bacterial SSU rRNA". It matches the Rfam family "Bacterial small subunit ribosomal RNA", at positions 903 to 1382 of the family's 1533-position model. Lineage: Bacteria; Bacillati; Bacillota; Bacilli; Lactobacillales; Streptococcaceae. The record is from RNAcentral.